UACGUAGGUGGCAAGCGUUGUCCGGAUUUACUGGGUGUAAAGGGCGUGUAGCCGGGCUGACAAGUCAGAUGUGAAAUCCGGGGGUUCAACCCCCGAACUGCAUUUGAAACUGUUGGUCUUGAGUAUCGGAGAGGCAGGCGGAAUUCCUAGUGUAGCGGUGAAAUGCGUAGAUAUUAGGAGGAACACCAGUGGCGAAGGCGGCCUGCUGGACGACAACUGACGGUGAGGCGCGAAAGCGUGGGGAGCAAACAGG
RNAcentral lists this ribosomal RNA (253 nucleotides) under uncultured bacterium. Its description in RNAcentral is "partial 16S ribosomal RNA". It matches the Rfam family "Bacterial small subunit ribosomal RNA", at positions 524 to 776 of the family's 1533-position model. The record is from RNAcentral.